This 1138-nucleotide long non-coding RNA is filed under the name Scleropages formosus (Asian bonytongue). RNAcentral describes it as "lncRNA (ENSSFOG00015028534.1)". The record is from RNAcentral. Lineage: Eukaryota; Metazoa; Chordata; Actinopteri; Osteoglossiformes; Osteoglossidae.
CCGGUGGACGAGAGGGUUGCCUCAAUGUGACUUAGGGUUGCAGAGAGGAAAACUUUGACUGUUGUGUGUGCUUAUGCCUUAUGCUUAGCCUUCUUGGAGAAGGUGGGUGGGGUUCUGGACAGGGCCCCACCUACAGACUCCAUAGUCCUGCUGGGGUACUUCAACGCUCACGUUGUCAAUGACUGGGAAAUCUGGCGGGGGGUGAUUUGGAAGAACGGCUUGCCCAAUCUGAACCCGAUUGGUGAAAUGUUAUUGGACUUCUGUACUAGUCAUGGUUUGUCCAUAACAAACACCAUGCUCGAACACAAGGAUGCUCAUAAGUGUACUUGGUACCAGAGCUCCUUGGGCCAAAGGUCAAUGAUUGACUUUGUAGUCGUUUCUUCUGACUUGAGGCCACAUGUUCCUGACACUCGGGUGAAGAGUGGUGUUGAGCUGUCAACUGAUCACCAUCUGGUGGUGAGUUGGAUCAGAUGGCGGGGAAAGCUGAUGUAUAGACCCGGUAGGCCCAGACGUUUAAUGAAGGUGUGCUGGGAACGACUGUCAGAGGACCUUGUCGGGAAUGAUUUUAACUCACACCUCCGGCAGAGCUUCUCCCAUGUCCCGGAGGAGGUAGGGGACAUGGAGUCUGAAUGGACCCUGUUCAAAACCUCCAUUGUGGAAGCAGCCAAGCACAGCUGUGGCCAAAAGCUUGUUGGUGCUAGCCAGGGCGGCAACUCAAGAACCUGCUGGUGGACACCGGUGGUGAGGGAAGCCGUCAAGGUGAAGAAGGAGGCCUUUAGGGUCUGGUUGGCUCUGGGGAUUCCUGACUCAGCAGACAGGUACCGGCAGGCGAAAAAGGCAGCAGCAGCUGUGGUUGCAGAAGCAAAAUCCUGGGCAUGGGAGGAAUUUGGAGACGCCAUGGAAAACGACUAUCGGUCGGCUUCAAAGAGGUUCUGGAGAACCAUCCAGCAGCUCAGAAGGGGUCAGAGGAGUUUCACUCAGGCUGUGUUUAUCAGGAGUGGAGAAACUCUGACCUCUGAUGAGGACAUUGUCCGGAGGUGGAAGGAGCACUUUGAAGAACUCUUAAACUCGAGUGAUAUGCACCGUCACAUGAUUGCCUCCAGCACGCACUGGAACGGUUUGCAGCCGAGUGUGAAGC